UUGGGAUGGCAAAAACAGCUUUAAAACUGAGUUUAAUAAGACUUUAACAGUGCUGCUCUGAAUGCUCUGCCAUUUUUUGGAGCCGAAGCAUUAGCUCUGGCAUACCAGAGGCUCUGUUGAAAGACUUGGAGCUGUGAGAUGAAAAGAGGAACUGGCUCCCUGGGGAAAUGCUGAGUGUGCUGCCAACACAAAGCACGGGGAAAGCAAACUCUGUAAUGUUUUGGUCACAGGCUGGAGGACCUAAUCCAUCUUUAAAAUUUCUGACAUCUACAGACAUAUACUUGGCUAAUAACUGCCAUACUUACGUAUUUAAGAGGUGGAAAGAAAACUCUAAUAUCAACUCUUUCAUGGACCUUUUCCCAACCUUGCUGUGUAAUGCCCAUCUGUUUGACCAGACUGAUGGAAUGAAUGAUGAGAGAUGUGUAAAGCUAUUGAAAAUAAUUUUUUCCUGUUUCCCUUUAUUGUAAUCAUAAAAAAUAGAUCAUUAAAGCUGUUUUAUAAACAUGAAUGAGCUAGAAAAUAUUAUGACAGCGUAAGUUGCUAAAGAUACAGAAAUGAAAUUUUUAGAUGAGAUUUAUCUUCUUACUUUAAUUUGUACUCCUGCUGUACUGUAAAUGUAAUAACCAUCAAAAUGAAAAAUGCAACAGAUUGAUAAUACCAUUGAGUUUUAAUUAAACCACUGAAUUGAAAAGGGCCCAGAUGGAUAACUGGAAAAUGUAGUUAUAACCCUGGUAUGAAAAAUGCUGGAUUGCUAGUGAUAUGUCUUGUAAAUAAAUGCUAUGCCAAAAAUAACCUCA
Molecule: long non-coding RNA, 797 nt
Filed under: Anas platyrhynchos platyrhynchos (common mallard)
Lineage: Eukaryota; Metazoa; Chordata; Aves; Anseriformes; Anatidae
Description: lncRNA (ENSAPLG00000018985.1)
Source: RNAcentral